CUAAAUCACUAGUUGAAUUUGAGCACUUGUAGUUCAAAAUCACUUCAAACCCUGAAAUCGGAAAAUCUAUUCGAAACAAGCAAAGAUAAGAAAAAAGAUUACAAAAAGAGCAUAACCAAGGAAAGAGAGGUGAAGGAGUGAUAAUGAGCCAAGCCGCAACUGGGGUCAGAUUUGAGCAACGAUUCGCCUAUCCAUAUGAUGUCCAAAUGCUGUUCAAAGACUACCAUUGCCUUCAUCGUCGAAAGAUCUUCGCGUGCGUAUCUUGAACGAUUCAAUCGGAGCUCGGAUGAGGGAGUUAUGGUCAUUUUACGAAAGUCGCGCAGUCAAGCAAAGGAGGCUCCAGAAAGUUCACGCGGGCGGGUGUUUUGUUAUAUGAAAACACCCGACCGGGUGAUUUGUGUCCGAGAAGAAUUCAAAAGGCGGGAUUUUGAAUUAUUUUGAGUGCCUUUUCAUAUUCCAACCCUAGUUUGAGUGACUUUUCAUCUCCCAAUCUCCCACAUCUAUAAAUAGGGCCUUUUGUAUCUUUUGUAAUAGAUUAGAGAUUAGAUUGAGUUUAGAAAAAGAGUGUCUCCUUUGUGAGAGUCCCUCCCCAUGUUGGGUGAGAUGAAUGUUUGGAAACCAAAUCCAUGGCCGGGCUAUGGUUAUUUGGUAGUUAGCCCGGGGUUAGCUACUUGGUAUGUUUGCCUUGUGGUUGGUCCGGAACUAGCCACUUGGCAAUCUUCACAACUAGUCUCAUGUAUCUAGUGGCGGAGCUUGAGUGAGAGUAUACCCUAGGGGCGGAGCUCGAAAGAGUAUACCUCUAGUGGCGGAGCUCGAACGAAAGUAUACCCUAGUGAGCGGUGUGGCUAGCCGGUGGGGUCGAUAAUAAUGGUUCUUUGUAGCCAUUUGCUCACUCCCCAAUUUCUUCCAUUUCGAUCCCCCUCGUCCAUUCUAUUUUUGUUCUAUCUUUUUGUGGGAUGGAACACCUAUCCUUUUUAGUGUAAUAUUUAUUUAAGUUUCAAUGUAAUGUGUUUUUAUGUUA
This is a non-coding RNA of Salvia hispanica, 1021 nucleotides long. Lineage: Eukaryota; Viridiplantae; Streptophyta; Magnoliopsida; Lamiales; Lamiaceae. The record is from RefSeq and is a predicted model, not a curated record.